GGUCAAAACAUGCAUGAGGAGACUGCUACUAGGCCUAUGAGCGUUCCGAGCUCCGUUGCCGCUACGACUACACAGUCCACAGCUACGGACCACAAUUCAGCCGAGCUACAAGUGUCAUAUUCUUCAAGCUCUGCAGGUACUGAUUCCUUCGCCGCGUUAAUGCCGAUUAAGUACGUUUUACUGGAAAAUUUGUUCAUUCGAAGGCAUACGAAGUCGAAUGAUUGAGAUUAUUUCCAAAAAGGAGCUUCUGCCCAGAUAUUUUAUUAGGUCAAGUGGAUGUGCAAUGGAAAAGUUGAAGCCACUGUUUUGGAUCAUCCGCCAUUGUAGUAAAUGCCAUAACCAGCAAGUUUCGUCAAAAAUAAAUGGAUAAAAAUGCUU
Long non-coding RNA from Schistocerca piceifrons (Central American locust), 378 nucleotides. RefSeq lists it as uncharacterized. The record is from RefSeq and is a predicted model, not a curated record. The transcript has 2 exons. Lineage: Eukaryota; Metazoa; Arthropoda; Insecta; Orthoptera; Acrididae.